UACAAAAACGGCAAGCGUUGUUCGGAAUUAUUGGGCGUAAAGAGCACGUAGGCGACUGUGUAAGUCGGUUGUGAAAGCCUUCCGCUCAACGGAAGAACGGCAUCCGAUACUGCAUGGCUUGAGUGUGAGAGGGGAGAGUGGAACUUCUGAUGGAGCGGUGAAAUGCGUAGAUAUCAGAAAGAACACCGGCGGCGAAGGCGACUCUCUGGUCCAUAACUGACGCUAAGUGUGCGAAAGCUAAAAAAGCAAA
Molecule: ribosomal RNA, 250 nt
Filed under: uncultured bacterium
Lineage: Bacteria
Description: partial 16S ribosomal RNA
Rfam family: Bacterial small subunit ribosomal RNA
Source: RNAcentral